ACCACACACACAUUUGCAGGUAAUAAAGGUGUUGAGGUUGAAAACCAACCCAGUGACUGUUUAAUACCACGUGUAAGACUGUAACUUGAUUCAAACAGAGAAUAAAUGCACAUUCUCCCAGAGACAGAGUUGUGAGUCUGCAGAAGGAGCUGAAACUGAGAGCGCUUCAUGCUCUGCUGCUCCGUGAGGAUAUCUUUGGCCAUGUAGCCGUCGCUUGCGUCUUUCCUAUCUCUGGAGGAGGAAGAGGAGUUAAAACAUAUCUGCCAAGGGAUGUGUCACUCAGUCCUUCUGCCCCGGUGUCAGAUGUCAUGUGGGGGGGCCACGCCCAUGGAAGUCCCCCUGCAGUCUGCACUCGGGGUCCAGCGGGCCUGCAGUGGACAGCGCCGGGUCUACACCGACCUGCCUAUUGAGCCCCAGAUUCCAAAAGCAACCACAAAAACCACAAAAACCUUUUUCGCUUUUGGCGUCUGUUGCUUGGUUGGCAGGCUCUGUGGUUGGCUUGCCGUUGAAAAAACCACCUUUUAUUAAAGCUCUUCAAUGCUGUACGCCAUUUCCAACUUAACACCAAAAAAAAAUCAAUAAAAACAGUAAAAUCAUGGAACGUAAAAUGUCUCUGGUGUUGUUUUUUUGUUUUAAAAAAUGUUAAUCAUUUAACCUGCAGGUGUGUAACGUUUAUUACACUUUAGUGUGAUAAUGAGGGAACUAAAAUAUAUUUCUUCUACUUUUAAUAAUCAGAAGCUACUAUACUUUAGAGAUAUUACAGGUUACUGUAUUGCCAAGAG
Ictalurus punctatus (channel catfish) is the source of this 782-nucleotide long non-coding RNA. Lineage: Eukaryota; Metazoa; Chordata; Actinopteri; Siluriformes; Ictaluridae. The record is from Ensembl.